UAGAUAGAUUAUUGUAUUCGACUGUAUUCACGAUAUGUAUAUGUGAAUACAGUAACGUAAAUAGCGCAAUUUAUAGUCUAUUCAGUUGUUUUUAAAUGGAAAGUGAAUCAAUUAACAUAAUAGAGUCCU
MicroRNA precursor from Nicotiana attenuata, 129 nucleotides. It matches the Rfam family "MIR6152 microRNA precursor family". The record is from Rfam. Lineage: Eukaryota; Viridiplantae; Streptophyta; Magnoliopsida; Solanales; Solanaceae.